Molecule: small nucleolar RNA, 130 nt
Filed under: Castor canadensis (American beaver)
Lineage: Eukaryota; Metazoa; Chordata; Mammalia; Rodentia; Castoridae
Description: Small nucleolar RNA SNORA51 (ENSCCNG00000017665.1)
Rfam family: Small nucleolar RNA SNORA51
About the family: ACA51 is a member of the H/ACA class of snoRNA that guide the sites of modification of uridines to pseudouridines.
Source: Rfam by way of RNAcentral
AGCCUCCUGCUGUUUAUCCCAGUCUGUGUUCUUAUACUGACUGUAUAGAAAGAGGAAGGAAAGCAAACCUACCCCAUGUACACACAUCAGUCCAGUGCACCUGGACUCUACUGUGAGUGGGAAGACAUCA